GCCGGGCGCGGUGGCGCUCGCCUGUCAUCCCAGGGGCUCGGGAGGCUGAGGCAGGAGGAUCUCUAGUUCAAAGCAGCCUCAGCAACAGCGAGGCCGUAAGCAACUCAGUGAGACCCUGUCUCUA
This 124-nucleotide small RNA is filed under the name Marmota monax (woodchuck). The record is from RNAcentral. Lineage: Eukaryota; Metazoa; Chordata; Mammalia; Rodentia; Sciuridae.